CGAUAGCGUAUAUUAAAGUUGUUGCGGUUAAAAAGCUCGUAGUUGGAUUUCUGCUGAGAACGACCGGUCCGCCCUUUGGGUGUGUAUCUGGCUCUUUCUUGGCAUCUUCUUGGUGAACGUUGCUGCACUUGACUGUGUGGAGCGCUACCCAGGACUUUUACUUUGAGGAAAUUAGAGUGUUUCGAGCAGGCAUACGCCUUGAAUACAUUAGCAUGGAAUAAUAAGAUAGGACCUCGGUUCUAUUUUGUUGGUUUCUAGAGCUGAGGUAAUGAUUAAUAGGGAUAGUUGGGGGCAUUCGUAUUUAACUGUCAGAGGUGAAAUUCCUGGAUUUGUUAAAGACGGACUACUGCGAAAGCAUUUGCCAAGGAUGUUUUCAUUGA
This 380-nucleotide ribosomal RNA is filed under the name uncultured eukaryote. Its description in RNAcentral is "partial 18S ribosomal RNA". It matches the Rfam family "Eukaryotic small subunit ribosomal RNA", at positions 592 to 976 of the family's 1831-position model. The record is from RNAcentral.